This 1124-nucleotide long non-coding RNA is filed under the name Sorghum bicolor (sorghum). Its description in RNAcentral is "long non-coding RNA (SBIC_LNC017833)". The record is from RNAcentral. Lineage: Eukaryota; Viridiplantae; Streptophyta; Magnoliopsida; Poales; Poaceae.
ACAUAUAUACUUAGGAUGUUGAAAAAUGGAACAAUUCUCAAAGCAAAGUCAUCUUCCUAUUUUCAUAUCCUUAGUACUUAGAGUUUUUGAUAAAUGUUUUAAAAGAAAGCACAUAGUUCAUCCUUACUCCUCUAAUAGUACUCUCAAGUCACCCAGUAAGUAUAGGAUUCCUCGCCAAGGCAUAGCAUAAGAUUGCCUUCUUUUGUUUCAUCGUACAUCUAUUAGGCUUAUGGGGCUCAGGUAGGGAGAAACAAGAUAGCAUAUUUGCAUUGUAUCUAUUGUAAAGUCAAAACAUGUAUCCAAGGAGAAGAAUGUCAUAAUCCUAGAUCAAGAUGUGUAAGUGUAUGAAAAAUGAUUAGAAUAGAAUGCUCCUAUAUUUGAUAAGAUCUCUCUCUCUAUUUUAUUUGAAAUAUGGCUAGAUUUUUUUUCUUCUUUUUUUCAAAAGCAAUGGACCUUCAUGUGCCCACUUUUUUUUACUAAGCAUAGCCUUUGUGUCUCAUCUUAUAACCAAUACUUAGAGAGAGAUAUUCUAAAAAAACAUGGAGCAUCUAUAUGGUGGAAAUGGAUGGCAUGUUUUUGCGUACUUCCAAUGUAGAAGCAGCAUAUAUAUGUGGUGUGCGUGUGAUCUUGAUCUUGGGACUAUGACAUAAUUCUCAACUAGGGUCACAAGGUUUGACUAAACUCAACACAAGUACAAGUAGCAUAUAUAGAAGGGUUUUGAACAAGGUAUGAACAUAUAUGGCUGUGGUAGGAAUUCUCUUACUAUUGAGGAGUAAGUGACACUAUGGUUUUAUGAUAUUUUCAAAAAUAAAUCUCAAAGCACUUUGAAUAGAAAGGGUAUGAAUAAUGAGCUAAGAACUACUCCCUCCAUCUGUAUUUAACUUCACCUCUGAUGUUCAAAAAAAUCUCCAAAUAAAAGGUCUCGAUGGCAUCCGAAGCUACCAGAUCAGGACUGUACUACACGCAUGGAUAUAAUAAAAAAUGCAAACCUGCCGGAGUCUCCUGUCCACACGUUUCAAUCGAGCAGAGGAAAAAAAGGAAUCGAAAAAUAAUUCCCAUCGAGGGAGCCCAUCCACACCUGCGAGCCUCGCGAGACGUGAGCACUCCUCCGAGCCUGACACCUG